UGGGGUAACGGCUCACCUAGGCGACGAUCCCUAGCUGGUCUGAGAGGAUGACCAGCCACACUGGAACUGAGACACGGUCCAGACUCCUACGGGAGGCAGCAGUGGGGAAUAUUGCACAAUGGGCGCAAGCCUGAUGCAGCCAUGCCGCGUGUAUGAAGAAGGCCUUCGGGUUGUAAAGUACUUUCAGCGGGGAGGAAGGGAGUAAAGUUAAUACCUUUGCUCAUUGACGUUACCCGCAGAAGAAGCACCGGCUAACUCCGUGCCAGCAGCCGCGGUAAUACGGAGGGUGCAAGCGUUAAUCGGAAUUACUGGGCGUAAAGCGCACGCAGGCGGUUUGUUAAGUCAGAUGUGAAAUCCCCGGGCUCAACCUGGGAACUGCAUCUGAUACUGGCAAGCUUGAGUCUCGUAGAGGGGGGUAGAAUUCCAGGUGUAGCGGUGAAAUGCGUAGAGAUCUGGAGGAAUACCGGUGGCGAAGGCGGCCCCCUGGACGAAGACUGACGCUCAGGUGCGAAAGCGUGGGGAGCAAACAGGAUU
RNAcentral lists this ribosomal RNA (534 nucleotides) under Shigella flexneri. Its description in RNAcentral is "bacterial SSU rRNA". It matches the Rfam family "Bacterial small subunit ribosomal RNA", at positions 253 to 779 of the family's 1533-position model. RNAcentral also lists the same sequence under 2 other names. The record is from RNAcentral. Lineage: Bacteria; Pseudomonadati; Pseudomonadota; Gammaproteobacteria; Enterobacterales; Enterobacteriaceae.